GACGAACGCUGGCGGCGUGCUUAACACAUGCAAGUCGAGCGGUAAGGCCCUUUUGGGGGUACACGAGCGGCGAACGGGUGAGUAACACGUGGGUGACCUGCCCUCAGCUCUGGGAUAAGCCUGGGAAACUGGGUCUAAUACUGGAUAUGACCUUUCCUCGCAUGGGGUUGGGUGGAAAGUUUUUCGGCUGGGGAUGGGCCCGCGGCCUAUCAGCUUGUUGGUGGGGUGAUGGCCUACCAAGGCGACGACGGGUAGCCGGCCUGAGAGGGCGACCGGCCACACUGGGACUGAGACACGGCCCAGACUCCUACGGGAGGCAGCAGUGGGGAAUAUUGCGCAAUGGGCGGAAGCCUGACGCAGCGACGCCGCGUGGGGAUGACGGCCU
Molecule: ribosomal RNA, 385 nt
Filed under: uncultured bacterium
Lineage: Bacteria
Description: bacterial SSU rRNA
Rfam family: Bacterial small subunit ribosomal RNA
Source: RNAcentral